This 538-nucleotide ribosomal RNA is filed under the name Escherichia coli. RNAcentral describes it as "partial 23S ribosomal RNA". It matches the Rfam family "Bacterial large subunit ribosomal RNA", at positions 2384 to 2916 of the family's 2925-position model. The record is from RNAcentral. Lineage: Bacteria; Pseudomonadati; Pseudomonadota; Gammaproteobacteria; Enterobacterales; Enterobacteriaceae.
ACGGCGCGAGCAGGUGCGAAAGCAGGUCAUAGUGAUCCGGUGGUUCUGAAUGGAAGGGCCAUCGCUCAACGGAUAAAAGGUACUCCGGGGAUAACAGGCUGAUACCGCCCAAGAGUUCAUAUCGACGGCGGUGUUUGGCACCUCGAUGUCGGCUCAUCACAUCCUGGGGCUGAAGUAGGUCCCAAGGGUAUGGCUGUUCGCCAUUUAAAGUGGUACGCGAGCUGGGUUUAGAACGUCGUGAGACAGUUCGGUCCCUAUCUGCCGUGGGCGCUGGAGAACUGAGGGGGGCUGCUCCUAGUACGAGAGGACCGGAGUGGACGCAUCACUGGUGUUCGGGUUGUCAUGCCAAUGGCACUGCCCGGUAGCUAAAUGCGGAAGAGAUAAGUGCUGAAAGCAUCUAAGCACGAAACUUGCCCCGAGAUGAGUUCUCCCUGACUCCUUGAGAGUCCUGAAGGAACGUUGAAGACGACGACGUUGAUAGGCCGGGUGUGUAAGCGCAGCGAUGCGUUGAGCUAACCGGUACUAAUGAACCGUGAGG